UACGUAGGGGGCAAGCGUUGUCCGGAAUCAUUGGGCGUAAAGAGCGUGUAGGCGGCUCGAUAAGUCUGCUGUGAAAGUCCAGGGCUCAACCCUGGAAGGCCGGUGGAAACUGUCGGGCUAGAGUCCGGAAGAGGCGAGUGGAAUUCCCGGUGUAGCGGUGAAAUGCGCAGAUAUCAGGAGGAACACCUAUUGCGAAGGCAGCUCGCUGGGACGUUACUGACGCUGAGACGCGAAAGCGUGGGGAGCAAACAGG
This 253-nucleotide ribosomal RNA is filed under the name uncultured bacterium. Its description in RNAcentral is "partial 16S ribosomal RNA". It matches the Rfam family "Bacterial small subunit ribosomal RNA", at positions 524 to 776 of the family's 1533-position model. The record is from RNAcentral.